UGCAGUCGAACGCGAAAGUUUCCUUCGGGAGACAAGUAGAGUGGCGCACGGGCUGAGUAACACGUAGGUAAUCUACCUUUGGAUGGGGAAUAACAGUCGGAAACGGCUGCUAAUACCGCAUAAUGCAGCGGCACCUAAUGGUGACAGUUGUUAAAGCGGGGGAUCGAAAGACCUCGCGUCUGAAGAGGAGCCUGCGGCGGAUUAGCUAGUUGGUAAGGUAAUGGCUUACCAAGGCUACGAUCCGUAACCGGCCUGAGAGGGCGGUCGGUCACACUGACACUGACAUACGGGUCAGACUCCUACGGGAGGCAGCAGUCGGGAAUUUUGGGCAAUGGGCGAAAGCCUGACCCAGCAACGCCGCGUGAAGGAUGAAAUCCCUCGGGAUGUAAACUUCGCAAGAAUGAGAAGAAUAAGUAGGGGACAAUACCCCCUAUGAUGACGGUAUCAUUUGUAAGCUCCGGCUAACUCCGUGCCAGCAGCCGCGGUAAUACGGGGGGAGCAAGCGUUGUUCGGAUUUACUGGGCGUAAAGGGCGCGUAGGCGGCCAGCACAAGUCAGUUGUGAAAUCUCCGAGCUUAACUCGGAAAGGUCAACUGAUACUGUGCGGCUAGAGUGCGGAAGGGGCAACUGGAAUUCUUGGUGUAGCGGUGAAAUGCGUAGAUAUCAAGAGGAACACCUGCGGCGAAGGCGGGUUGCUGGGCCGACACUGACGCUGAGGCGCGAAAGCCAGGGGAGCGAACGGGAUUAGAUACCCCGGUAGUCCUGGCCUUAAACGAUGAAUGCUUGGUGUCUGGGGUUAUAAAGUCCCCGGGUGCCGUCGCUAACGCUUUAAGCAUUCCGCCUGG
RNAcentral lists this ribosomal RNA (844 nucleotides) under uncultured bacterium. RNAcentral's name for it is "bacterial SSU rRNA". It matches the Rfam family "Bacterial small subunit ribosomal RNA", at positions 56 to 876 of the family's 1533-position model. The record is from RNAcentral.